Molecule: ribosomal RNA, 406 nt
Filed under: uncultured bacterium
Lineage: Bacteria
Description: partial 16S ribosomal RNA
Rfam family: Bacterial small subunit ribosomal RNA
Source: RNAcentral
AUUGAACGCUGGCGGCAGGCCUAACACAUGCAAGUCGAACGAGUGGCGGACGGGUGAGUAAUGCCUGGGAAACUGCCCGAUGGAGGGGGAUAACUACUGGAAACGGUAGCUAAUACCGCAUACCAUCGGAUGUGCCCCGAUUGGAUUAGCUAGUAGGUGGGGGAACGGCUCACCUAGGCGACGAUCGCUAGCUGGUCUGAGAGGAUGACGAGCCACAAGGGAACUGAAACACGGUCCAGACUCCAACGGGAGGCAGCGGUGGGGAAUAUUGCACAAGGGGGGCAAGCCGGAGAAAGCCAUGCCGCGUGGAGGAAGAAGGCCUUCGGGUUGGAAAGUACGUUAAGCGAGGAGGCGUUACUCGCAGAAGAAGCACCGGCUAACUCCGUGCCAGCAGCCGCGGUAAUUC